This 253-nucleotide ribosomal RNA is filed under the name uncultured bacterium. RNAcentral describes it as "partial 16S ribosomal RNA". It matches the Rfam family "Bacterial small subunit ribosomal RNA", at positions 524 to 776 of the family's 1533-position model. The record is from RNAcentral.
GACGUAGGGUGCAAGCGUUGUCCGGAAUUAUUGGGCGUAAAGAGCUCGUAGGCGGUCUGUCGCGUCUGCUGUGAAAACUCGGGGCUUAACCCCGGGCCUGCAGUGGGUACGGGCAGACUAGAGUGCGGUAGGGGAGACUGGAAUUCCUGGUGUAGCGGUGAAAUGCGCAGAUAUCAGGAGGAACACCGGUGGCGAAGGCGGGUCUCUGGGCCGAUACUGACGCUGAGGAGCGAAAGCGUGGGGAGCGAACAGG